RNAcentral lists this ribosomal RNA (422 nucleotides) under uncultured bacterium. RNAcentral describes it as "partial 16S ribosomal RNA". It matches the Rfam family "Bacterial small subunit ribosomal RNA", at positions 360 to 774 of the family's 1533-position model. The record is from RNAcentral.
AAUAUUGGACAAUGGGGGCAACCCUGAUCCAACCAUGCCGCGUGUGUGAAGAAGGUCUUCGGAUUGUAAAGCACUUUUGGCAGGGAAGAAAAGGCUCUGGCUAAUACCUGGAGCUGCUGACGGUACCUGCAGAAUAAGCACCGGCUAACUACGUGCCAGCAGCCGCGCUAAUCCGUAGGGUGCAAGCGUUAAUCGGAAUUACUGGGAGUAAAGCGUGGUCAGGCGGUUCGGCAAGAAGGAUGUGAAAUCCCAGGGCUUAACCUUGGAACUGCAUUCUUAACUGCCGGGCUAGAGUAUGUCAGAGGGGGGUAGAAUUCCGCGUGUAGCAGUGAAAUGCGUAGAGAUGCGGAGGAAUACCGAUGGCGAAGGCAGCCCCCUGGGAUAAUACUGACGCUCAUGCACGAAAGCGUGGGGAGCAAACA